RNAcentral lists this ribosomal RNA (1286 nucleotides) under metagenome. RNAcentral describes it as "bacterial LSU rRNA". It matches the Rfam family "Bacterial large subunit ribosomal RNA", at positions 1664 to 2925 of the family's 2925-position model. The record is from RNAcentral.
CCGUCAGGUAGAGAAUACCAAGGCGAUCGGGUGAACUGUGGUUAAGGAACUCGGCAAAUUGCCCCCGUAACUUCGGGAGAAGGGGGGCCUCCGCUGGUGAUCAGACUUGCUUUGUGAGCUGGUGGGGGUCGCAGAGGCCAGGGGGAAGCGACUGUUUACUAAGAACACAGGUCCGUGCGAAGUCGUAAGACGAUGUAUACGGACUGACGCCUGCCCGGUGCUGGAACGUUAAGGGGACCGGUUAGCGCAUCUUCGGGUGUGCGAGGCUGAGAACUUAAGCGCCAGUAAACGGCGGUGGUAACUAUAACCAUCCUAAGGUAGCGAAAUUCCUUGUCGGGUAAGUUCCGACCUGCACGAAUGGCGUAACGACUUCCCCGCUGUCUCAACCGCAGACCCGGCGAAAUUACACUACGAGUAAAGAUGCUCGUUACGCGCAGCAGGACGGAAAGACCCCGGGACCUUCACUACAGCUUGACAUUGGCGUUUGGAACGUCUUGUGUAGGAUAGGUGGGAGACUGUGAAGCUGUCACGCUAGUGGUGGUGGAGUCAUUGGUGAAAUACCACUCUGGUCGUUUUGAACGUCUAACUUCGGUCCGUGAUCCGGAUCAGGGACAGUGUCUGGUGGGUAGUUUAACUGGGGCGGUUGCCUCCUAAAGAGUAACGGAGGCGCCCAAAGGUUCCCUCAGCCUGGUUGGUAAUCAGGUGUCGAGUGUAAGUGCACAAGGGAGCUUGACUGUGAGACCGACGGGUCGAGCAGGAGCGAAAGCUGGGACUAGUGAUCCGGCGGUGGCAUGUGGAAGCGCCGUCGCUCAACGGCUAAAAGGUACCCCGGGGAUAACAGGCUGAUCUUCCCCAAGAGUCCAUAUCGACGGGAUGGUUUGGCACCUCGAUGUCGGCUCGUCGCAUCCUGGGGCUGGAGUAGGUCCCAAGGGUUGGGCUGUUCGCCCAUUAAAGCGGUACGCGAGCUGGGUUUAGAACGUCGCGAGACAGUUCGGUCCCUAUCCGCUGCGCGCGCAGGAGACUUGAAAGGAGCUGUCCCUAGUACGAGAGGACCGGGACGGACGAACCUCUGGUGUGCCAGUUGUUCCGCCAGGAGCAUGGCUGGUUGGCUACGUUCGGAAGGGAUAACCGCUGAAAGCAUCUAAGCGGGAAGCUCGCCUUGAGAUGAGGUCUCCCACCACGAGAGUGGGUAAGGCCCCCGGGAGACGACCGGGUUGAUAGGCCGGAGGUGGAAGCAUGGUAACGUGUGGAGCUGACCGGUACUAAUAGGCCGAGGACUUGACCAC